UCCCUGAUGGUCCAGUGGCUAAGACUCCAUGCUCCCAGUGUAGGGGGCCCAGGUUCAAUCCCUUGUCAGGGAA
RNAcentral lists this transfer RNA (73 nucleotides) under Ovis aries (sheep). It matches the Rfam family "tRNA". Rfam says of the family: Transfer RNA (tRNA) molecules are approximately 80 nucleotides in length. Their secondary structure includes four short double-helical elements and three loops (D, anti-codon, and T loops). Lineage: Eukaryota; Metazoa; Chordata; Mammalia; Artiodactyla; Bovidae. The record is from Rfam by way of RNAcentral.